Molecule: long non-coding RNA, 2799 nt
Organism: Carassius auratus (goldfish)
Lineage: Eukaryota; Metazoa; Chordata; Actinopteri; Cypriniformes; Cyprinidae
Exons: 3
Source: RefSeq, a predicted model, not a curated record
GAUGCGAAGAUUGAAAGGGAUCUUUGCAAACACAAUCACGUUCUUAAAUGGAAAUGUGGGGCUUUAAACAAAUCUUACAUCUCUCCUGUUCCAGUCGUCUAAAACUCCGCAAUCAGGCGCACGGUCGACUCCAUCUAAAACCACAGCUUUUUUAGAUUUUCUUUUUUUGGUACCACUUUUAUUUAAAUUAUUUACCUUACUGUUUUUUUUAGUUCAAGUUCGUGUUUGUCUUGCUCUUAUGGGGUGUUUCCACAGGCUUUUGCGAGGAAUUGUGCCGUUACACGCGGAGAAUUCAGGCAUCAAACCCAAAGGCUCCUCUGUGGACUAAUGGAGCUGAAAGCUGAUGAUGAUGAUGACAGAGAAAAUAUCAUGCAAACAUAAUUUGCCUUCUGUGAAAGAAAAUGCAGAGAAAAAAAAGGCUCAAAGAGGCCUGAAAGGACAGAAUUACUUGCUUUGGAGACAUCUGAGAAGUCCAUUGAAAGAGCUAAUAAUGGGAUCAAGGGGCAUUUGUGUAUAAAUUCAACUGUAUUAAAUCAAGAAAGGCUGCUUUAGCAACAGAUGCAUUGAGAUCAGCACAAUACGCUCGUACUGAACUUCUAGCCUCGGGGUUACAUGUGUGUUUUGGACUGGUUAGGAGCUGGCAAACAGCAGAGUGGCCAGACCAGCUCCCGCACGAGAAGGGUCACGACCAGACACCAAGUGCCCCUGUCUCGUAGUCGUCUGUGGUCAAGCACUCACCGAAUUAAAUUAGACUGCUUUUAAUUGAGGAUUGACCGGUCUGAGAGCAGCUGGUGCUUGGGUCAGUCAAGAUAGCAAAGCCUGAAUCCCCCAGGCCCCAACUGUAAUUUCAGCCCUGCAGGUCCUGGAAUGGACUGGGAGGGAGAGGAGGUCGGAGCAUGCUGGGAAUGCAUGGCUGAUGAUUAGCAAUAAGAGUUUAUAGGAAGGCUUAGAUGAGAUUUGGCUUGUUUGCUUGAGUGGAAAGUGUAACUCACACACUCACAGCCUGUGGAGUCAGUGUAAAUCCGCUUAAGGUUUGCACCUCACUGAAAAUCUCCUCAAUCGCCUGGUCGACACAAUUAAUUGCUUCAUUAAUUAAUAAUCGCUGCACGAUACACCACCCUGACUGCGUCUUGGCAAGCGUGCAACUUACAAGCGACCCUUCUUUUUCUUCUUAUGUUCCCUUCUUUCACUCUUCCCGCCUACUCUGAUACUCUACUCCUCUUUUUUUUUACCCUUUUCUUCUGCACGCCUUUUCUUUUCCUACUUUAAGCAGCAUUGCAGAUGCAGACUCUGCUGUUAUAGCAUGAACAGACACACUUUUCUCUCGGCAAGCAGGUCAGAGUGCUCUGCUAACAUUUGUUAUCUAUAAUCCUGCAGGUCCCCACGCAAAAUGAGCGUAGUAAACUCUUGCAAAACCCUAAUCCCUCCAUUUCUUUUAGACGCGCUUUCUCUCUCUCUCAUGCUCUUUUCUUUUCCAUCUUUGGGGAAGGAAAGUGAGGAGGCAUCUUUGACUUUGGCCCUUAUUUUUGAGUUCUUCUGAAUUACCAAACUUCUUUAACCUUCAAAAUUAUCAACAUUUUCUGGCAAUUAAAAAGAUUUAGAUUUUUUUUUUUUUUAUCAAACUCCAAUGCUAAAGAAUCAUUUCGGGCUGCCACCAGCCGCCCAUGCUUUUAUGACAGGCUUUGUGGAUUUGUUUUUCAGACUCCUUGUGUGCAGAAAUCUCUAUGCGUUUACGGUUCAACUGUCGGUGUCAGUUAAUCUGGCUUGUGCUGUUGAUUCAUCUCAGUAACAUUCAAGGAUCUGUGCAAAAAAAAAAGUUUUUUUCUUUUGCCAUCACUCUCAAUUAUAUAUGCGCUGAUUUGAUUUGAGUUUGAUACUAUGGAAAUUAUGUAUAUGAAUGCUCUUGUGCAGUUCUGCUGCAUUUAGUCUUGGUCAUGCACACCCACACAUGCAGUGAGCACGUCGGAGUGUGUGUGAGUUUGUGUUGUAUGGUGAGUAAUAGCAGGGCUCGCUGGAAGGCUGUAGUGUUGACAGCAUGGUAAACGAUGCAGCCUGCCUACUGCAGCAGCUAGCCUGCUAAUCACACACACACCACAUGAUAAUGAGAACAACCCCUGUCCUCCAACACACACACACACUAAUACGACUAACCACAGCAAACAGACACAAACUCCCUCUCACACACACUGACCCAUACUUCUACAGACAAAUGGAAGACAUAAUGGUAGCCGGAGGCAGUAAUGGGGCAUCUCUCUCUCUCUCUCUCUCUCACUCUCUCUCUCUCUUAUACUCUUGAACCAAGCACAUCUCUAUCGCUUUACUGUCUUCUUUACACAAAUACACACACUCUUCUCUCUCAUACUAACAGCUUUCUGUUAGAAGACACUCAGACUUGAGCCACACUUACACUAAGAAUGUGACUUGAGAUUUGAAGUAGUAUAGAUGGGACUUCUGAGACUUGUAAUCCAAAGUUUUUAGGUCUACAAGGCAAUGUAUUUUCUCUGAAUAUUGCAAAAUUUAGUAAUAGAGUUAAUAGCUAUUAGAAAUAUAGUUAAUAUUGGUUACUGUUAAAAUUUCUUUCUUUUUUUUUAAAUUUAAGUAAACAAGUGAUAGAACAAGUGAUAUAAAUAUUACAUUUAAACUGAUUCAAAAAUAUAUACAUUUUUUAUUUGAUUUACACAACCAUUGUGAGUUUUUAUUGUUUUUGAAAGAAGUCUCUUAUGCUCAUCAAGGCUGAAUUCAUUCACUCUAAAAAUGCUGGGUUGUUUUAACCCAACUUUGGGUCACAUACUGUUUGGA